UGGGGAAUAUUGCACAAUGGGCGCAAGCCUGAUGCAGCCAUGCCGCGUGUGUGAAGAAGGCCUUCGGGUUGUAAAGCACUUUCAGCGAGGAGGAAGGUGGUGAGCUUAAUACGCUCAUCAAUUGACGUUACUCGCAGAAGAAGCACCGGCUAACUCCGUGCCAGCAGCCGCGGUAAUACGGAGGGUGCAAGCGUUAAUCGGAAUUACUGGGCGUAAAGCGCACGCAGGCGGUUUGUUAAGUCAGAUGUGAAAUCCCCGGGCUCAACCUGGGAACUGCAUUUGAAACUGGCAAGCUAGAGUCUCGUAGAGGGGGGUAGAAUUCCAGGUGUAGCGGUGAAAUGCGUAGAGAUCUGGAGGAAUACCGGUGGCGAAGGCGGCCCCCUGGACGAAGACUGACGCUCAGGUGCGAAAGCGUGGGGAGCAAACAGAUUAGAUACCCUGGUAGUCCACGCUGUAAAACGAUGUCGAUUUUGGAGGUUGUGCCCUUGAGGCGUGGCUUCCGGAGCUAACGCGUUAAAUCGACCGCCUGGGGAGUACGGCCGCAAGGUUAAAACUCAAAGGAAUUGAC
This 568-nucleotide ribosomal RNA is filed under the name uncultured bacterium. RNAcentral describes it as "partial 16S ribosomal RNA". It matches the Rfam family "Bacterial small subunit ribosomal RNA", at positions 355 to 914 of the family's 1533-position model. The record is from RNAcentral.